UACGUAGGGGGCAAGCGUUAUCCGGAAUUACUGGGUGUAAAGGGAGCGUAGACGGCAUGGCAAGCCAGAUGUGAAAUACCGGGGCUCAACCCCGGGACUGCUUUGGAAACUGCCUGACUGGAGUGCUGGAGAGGCAAGCGGAAUUCCUAGUGUAGCGGUGAAAUGCGUAGAUAUUAGGAGGAACACCAGUGGCGAAGGCGGCUUACUGGACAGUGACUGACACUGAGGCUCGAAAGCGUGGGGAGCAAACAGG
RNAcentral lists this ribosomal RNA (253 nucleotides) under uncultured Dorea sp. RNAcentral's name for it is "partial 16S ribosomal RNA". It matches the Rfam family "Bacterial small subunit ribosomal RNA", at positions 524 to 776 of the family's 1533-position model. The record is from RNAcentral. Lineage: Bacteria; Bacillati; Bacillota; Clostridia; Lachnospirales; Lachnospiraceae.